AACAAACGCUGGCGGCGUGCCUAAUACAUGCAAGUCGAACGGGGAAAGCUUUCGGGUGAGUACUAGUGGCGCACGGGUGAGGAACGCGUGGGUAAUUUUCCUUGAAGUGGGGGAUAACUAGUCGAAAGAUUAGCUAAUACCGCAUAAGACCACGAAAUCUGAGGAUUUUGAGGUGAAAGGUUUUUCGCUCCAAGAUAAGCCCGCGUAAGAUUAGCUAGUUGGUGAGGUAAUGGCUCACCAAGGCGACGAUCUUUAGCUGGUCUGAGAGGAUGAUCAGCCACACUGGAACUGAGACACGGUCCAGACUCCUACGGGAGGCAGCAGUAGGGAAUAUUGCACAAUGGAGGAAACUCUGAUGCAGCGACGCCGCGUGAGUGAUGAAGGACUUCGGUUCGUAAAGCUCUGUCGCAUGGGAAUAAUAAAUGAAGGUACCAUGCAAGAAAGGAUCGGCUAACUUCGUGCCAGCAGCCGCGGUAA
RNAcentral lists this ribosomal RNA (477 nucleotides) under uncultured bacterium. RNAcentral describes it as "partial 16S ribosomal RNA". It matches the Rfam family "Bacterial small subunit ribosomal RNA", at positions 29 to 523 of the family's 1533-position model. The record is from RNAcentral.